Molecule: non-coding RNA, 639 nt
Organism: Cyprinus carpio (common carp)
Lineage: Eukaryota; Metazoa; Chordata; Actinopteri; Cypriniformes; Cyprinidae
Source: the annotation of a RefSeq genome assembly
AUGGAAGAAAGGGCGAUGUUCAUUGCGGUGGCUCAGGCGAGCCCCAACCCCAUCGCCUUCGCGAGGGCGUUUGUGCCGCUCGCCAGCUCCCUCGAGGGGGAAACUCUAAUGACUCUGUUCCGGAUCGGCAUUACUUACCAUCGCCCUACGGAGCUCCCAGACACCACCAAACUUGACUGGAGGGAGACAGUCAUCCGGUGUCUGGAGAGCCUUCGAUCCCGAUCCGGAACCCCUCAGCCGGCACAAGACAAAACAACAACAAUGAACAACAUCAUCAUCCUCAUCUGGACUCUCACACUGUUUGCUCAAGAGUGUAGAGGACAGUACACUGUAACUCAGAGUCCAUCAAUAACAGCAGCUCAAGGACAAGAAGUCAGAAUAAACUGUAAAACCAGCAGUAAUGUCUACAGUGAUAGUUAUGGGUCAAGGAUGGGCUGGUAUUUACAGAAACCUGGAGAAGCUCCUAAACUCCUCAUAUAUUGGGCAACAAGCCGUUACACUGGAACUCCAUCUAGAUUCAGUGGCAGUGGAUCUAACAGUGAUUUCACUCUGACCAUCAGUGGAGUCCAGACUGAAGAUACAGGAGAUUAUUACUGUCAGAGUGUACACUGUCCUAGUAGCUGUGUGUUCACACAGUGA